RNAcentral lists this ribosomal RNA (1361 nucleotides) under uncultured organism. RNAcentral describes it as "16S ribosomal RNA". It matches the Rfam family "Bacterial small subunit ribosomal RNA". The record is from RNAcentral.
UCAGCGGCAGACGGGUGAGUAACACGUAGGUGACCUGCCCUAAAGAUGGGGACAACGGAUGGAAACAUGCGCUAAUACCCAAUGGACCUGUGAUGUCAGAGUCAUAGGUAAAGCUUCGGCGCUUUAGGAGGGGCCUGCGGCCCAUCAGCUAGUUGGUAGGGUAACGGCCUACCAAGGCAAAGACGGGUAGGGGGUGUGAGAGCAUGACCCCCCACAAUGGGACUGAGACACGGNCCAUACUCCUACGGGAGGCAGCAGCAGGGAAUAUUGCACAAUGGACGGAAGUCUGAUGCAGCGACGCCGCGUGGAUGACGAAGGCCUUCGGGUUGUAAAAUCCUUUUCAGGGGGACGAGAACGGACGGUACCCUUGGAAUAAGCGUCGGCUAACUACGUGCCAGCAGCCGCGGUAAGACGUAUGACGCAAGCGUUAUCCGGAUUUACCGGGCGUAAAGCGUCUGUAGGCGGUUGAGUAAGUUGGGCGUGAAAGCUCCGGGCUUAACCCGGAGAGGUCGUUCAAUACUGCUUAACUAGAGGACAUCAGAGGAGCAUGGAAUUUCCGGUGUAGCGGUAAAAUGCGCAGAUAUCGGAAAGAACACCAGUGGCGAAGGCGGUGCUCUGGGGUGGGCCUGACGCUGAGAGACGAAAGCUAGGGGAGCGAACAGGAUUAGAGACCCUGGUAGUCCUAGCCCUAAACGAUGGAUGCUAGAUGUAGGGCCGAGAAGGCUCUGUGUCGCAGUUAACGCGGUAAGCAUCCCGCCUGGGGAUUACGGCCGCAGGGCUAAAACUCAAACGAAUUGACGGGGCCCCGCACAAGCAGCGGAGCGUGUGGUUUAAUUCGAUGCUACACGAAGAACCUUACCUGGGUUUGACAUGUACGUGGUAGUGAAGCGAAAGCGGAGCGACCCUUCGGGGAGCGUACACAGGUGCUGCAUGGCUGUCGUCAGCUCGUGCCGUGAGGUGUCGGGUUAAGUCCCGUAACGAGCGCAACCCUUGCCCUUAGUUACAAGUGUCUAAGGGGACUGCCGGCGGUAAGCCGGAGGAAGGUGGGGAUGACGUCAAGUCAGCAUGGCCCUUAUAUCCAGGGCUACACACACGCUACAAUGGUCAGUACAAAGGGCAGCGAAGCCGCGAGGUGAAGCGAAUCCCACCAAAGCUGAUCUAAGUUCGGAUUGCAGGCUGCAACUCGCCUGCAUAAAGCUGGAGUUGCUAGUAACCGCGCGUCAGCCAUAGUGCGGUGAUACGUUCCCGGGGCUUGUACACACCGCCCGUCACGUCAUGGAAGUCGGUAACGCCUGAAGCUGGUAGUCUGGCCUUAACAGGGGACGCCAUCUAAGGCGGGGCUGGCAACUGGGACGAAGUCG